CUACGGGAUGCUGCAGUGGGGAAUAUUGCACAAUGGACGAAAGUCUGAUGCAGCAACGCCGCGUGGAGGAUGACACAUUUCGGUGCGUAAACUCCUUUUAUAUAAGAAGAUAAUGACGGUACUAUAUGAAUAAGCACCGGCUAACUCCGUGCCAGCAGCCGCGGUAAUACGGAGGGUGCAAGCGUUACUCGGAAUCACUGGGCGUAAAGAGCGUGUAGGCGGGUUAAUAAGUUGGAAGUGAAAUCCUAUGGCUCAACCAUAGAACUGCUUCCAAAACUGUUAACCUAGAAUAUGAGAGAGGUAGAUGGAAUUUCUGGUGUAGGGGUAAAAUCCGUAGAGAUCAGAAGGAAUACCGAUUGCGAAGGCGAUCUACUGGAACAUUAUUGACGCUGAGACGCGAAAGCGUGGGGAGCAAACAGGAUUAGAUACCUCCGUAGUC
Molecule: ribosomal RNA, 439 nt
Filed under: uncultured bacterium
Lineage: Bacteria
Description: partial 16S ribosomal RNA
Rfam family: Bacterial small subunit ribosomal RNA
Source: RNAcentral